RNAcentral lists this ribosomal RNA (777 nucleotides) under uncultured bacterium. RNAcentral's name for it is "bacterial SSU rRNA". It matches the Rfam family "Bacterial small subunit ribosomal RNA", at positions 613 to 1391 of the family's 1533-position model. The record is from RNAcentral.
CCUGGGAACUGCGUUNUGAACUGGGUGACUAGAGUGUGUCAGAGGGAGGUAGAAUUCCACGUGUAGCAGUGAAAUGCGUAGAGAUGUGGAGGAAUACCGAUGGCGAAGGCAGCCUCCUGGGAUAACACUGACGUUCAUGCCCGAAAGCGUGGGUAGCAAACAGGAUUAGAUACCCUGGUAGUCCACGCCCUAAACGAUGUCGAUUAGCUGUUGGGCAGCAUGACUGCUUAGUAGCGAAGCUAACGCGUGAAAUCGACCGCCUGGGGAGUACGGUCGCAAGAUUAAAACUCAAAGGAAUUGACGGGGACCCGCACAAGCGGUGGAUGAUGUGGAUUAAUUCGAUGCAACGCGAAGAACCUUACCUGGUCUUGACAUGUACGGAACCCUCCAGAGACGGAGGGGUGCCUUCGGGAGCCGUAACACAGGUGCUGCAUGGCUGUCGUCAGCUCGUGUCGUGAGAUGUUGGGUUAAGUCCCGCAACGAGCGCAACCCUUGUCAUUAGUUGCCAUCAUUAAGUUGGGCACUCUAAUGAGACUGCCGGUGACAAGCCGGAGGAAGGUGGGGAUGACGUCAAGUCCUCAUGGCCCUUAUGACCAGGGCUUCACACGUCAUACAAUGGUCGGUACAGAGGGUAGCCAAGCCGCGAGGUGGAGCCAAUCUCACAAAACCGAUCGUAGUCCGGAUUGCACUCUGCAACUCGAGUGCAUGAAGUCGGAAUCGCUAGUAAUCGCAGGUCAGCAUACUGCGGUGAAUACGUUCCCGGGUCUUGUACACACC